Molecule: ribosomal RNA, 633 nt
Filed under: uncultured bacterium
Lineage: Bacteria
Description: bacterial SSU rRNA
Rfam family: Bacterial small subunit ribosomal RNA
Source: RNAcentral
AGAGUUUGAUCCUGGCUCAGAUUGAACGCUGGCGGAAUGCUUUACACAUGCAAGUCGAACGAUGAAGCCUAGCUUGCUAGGUGAAUUAGUGGCGGACGGGUGAGUAAUAUAUCGGAACGUGUCCAUUAAUGGGGGAUAACUAAUCGAAAGGUUAGCUAAUACCGCAUACGCCCUGAGGGGGAAAGCUGGGGAUCUUCGGACCUAGCGUUAAUGGAGCGGCCGAUACCUGAUUAGCUAGUUGGUGGGGUAAAAGCCUACCAAGGCAACGAUCAGUAGCUGGUCUGAGAGGACGACCAGCCACACUGGGACUGAGACACGGCCCAGACUCCUACGGGAGGCAGCAGUGGGGAAUUUUGGACAAUGGGGGCAACCCUGAUCCAGCCAUUCCGCGUGAGUGAAGAAGGCCUUCGGGUUGUAAAGCUCUUUCGCAAGGGAAGAAACGAUAUAGGUUAAUAGCUUAUGUUAAUGACGGUACCUUGACAAGAAGCACCGGCUAACUACGUGCCAGCAGCCGCGGUAAUACGUAGGGUGCAAGCGUUAAUCGGAAUUACUGGGCGUAAAGCGUGCGCAGGCUGUUUUGUAAGUCAGAUGUGAAAUCCCCGAGCUCAACUUGGGAACUGCGUUUGAAACUAC